GCAUAACGCGAAGAACCUUACCACCUUUUGACAUGCCUGGACCGCCACAGAGAUGUGGCUUUCCCUUCGGGGACUGGGACACAGGUGCUGCAUGGCUGCCGUCAGCUCGUGUCGUGAGAUGUUGGGUUAAGUCCCGCAACGAGCGCAACCCUCGCCAUUAGUUGCCAUCAUUCAGUUGGGAACUCUAAUGGGACUGCCGGUGCUAAGCCGGAGGAAGGUGGGGAUGACGUCAAGUCCUCAUGGCCCUUACAGGGUGGGCUACACACGUGCUACAAUGGCGACUACAGAGGGUUAAUCCUUAAAAGUCGUCUCAGUUCGGAUUGUCCUCUGCAACUCGAGGGCAUGAAGUUGGAAUCGCUAGUAAUCGCGGAUCAGCAUGCCGCGGUGAAUACGUUCCCGGGUCUUGUACACACCG
RNAcentral lists this ribosomal RNA (415 nucleotides) under uncultured bacterium. Its description in RNAcentral is "bacterial SSU rRNA". It matches the Rfam family "Bacterial small subunit ribosomal RNA", at positions 954 to 1392 of the family's 1533-position model. The record is from RNAcentral.